Hibiscus syriacus is the source of this 466-nucleotide long non-coding RNA. RefSeq lists it as uncharacterized. NCBI's taxonomy places the organism in Eukaryota, Viridiplantae, Streptophyta, Magnoliopsida, Malvales, Malvaceae. The transcript is spliced from 5 exons. The record is from RefSeq and is a predicted model, not a curated record.
GGUUUUUUCUUCUUCUUCCACUUCUAGCGCGCGCGCUCUCUCUAGAAAGAAACGGGAUUAAUCACGGAGCUUUGCUUUUCCGAUCGAAAUAACGCGGUGGUUUCGAUUGUCUUAGCUUCAUUGUAGCUAGUUUUGGGGAAAUAUCCUGGUGAGGUGGCAAAGGGUCUUUAGCGAUGGCUACUGAGAUAGUGAAUAAUGAUGUUCUUGCGGGAGACAAUGAGGAGUUGGAGACUUCGAAUGGCAUUGAGAAAUUAGAGAUAUCAAAUGGCAAAGAUGACUCAUCUGCUAACUCUUCGUCUAUUCAAAAAGAUGAAGAUGGAGGCGCAGAAGUUGCAAAGAAGAAAAAGAAGAAAAAUAAAAGCAAGAAAAAGAGGAGCCACUGAAGCAGACUGACCCUCCAUCUAUUCCUGUUGUUGAUCUUUUCCCAUCUAGGGAGUUUCCUGAGGGUGAAAUUCAACAGUACAAA